This is a long non-coding RNA of Tigriopus californicus, 736 nucleotides long. RefSeq lists it as uncharacterized. The record is from RefSeq and is a predicted model, not a curated record. NCBI's taxonomy places the organism in Eukaryota, Metazoa, Arthropoda, Copepoda, Harpacticoida, Harpacticidae. The transcript has 2 exons.
CCAACGCUCCAAAUUCUAUCUGCCGGGAGAAUGAGAGCCGGUUCUUUUCUCAGGCACUACUAGAGCAAAGUGGUGCUUGGCGGCCUGCAGCUAUAUCUUGGCGCGCUUUUGAACUGCUGUUCAAUUAUUACGGAGCGAAUACAUACAUUCACUCAAUCACGUAAGAACACCUCGAUCCAGGAGAGCCGGAAGCUAGAAGAGGCGUGACGAGCACCAACAGAACCUACAAAUCACGCCAUUGUUCUUGGCCACGUCAAGGCUGGGGAUCCUUGUUAAAUCUGAGAAAGUGAAGGGAACUGCAAUUAAUUCCUUCAAAUGACAGCUGUCCCUCGCGACGAGGUCUUGGCGGUGGCAGAGCUGGAACUUCUCCCGCGGAAAAUGUUCAUGACCUUGGUCAUCAUUUGAUGUGCGUGACCCCCGCCAUCAUCCUUGCUGCCUUCUUUGGAUAGCACUCGGACAUGCCUUAAUGGGAUGUGCUCUGGAACUGGAUCUUCUCUAGUGGAACUGCCCCUAUUCUCGUCAACUUCCGCUGUUGUGGGUAAACGUGGUUGUGAGGAAGAUCUGGAUCCACUUGGGGUUUGGUUGUACGGAGACAUGGACAUUGGGGAUGGCACGUAUCCCUAGAACACGAUAUCGCCUGGACUUGUUUAUUUUUAUUCGUUUAUGGAACCCCUUAUUGUCUUUUGCAUCUCUUAUAAAUGCUAUACGAGGCGUCUAUUGAGACACGAGCCCCCGA